CCCUUCGAUGUUCUGGGCCGCACGCGCGCUACACUGAUAAAUUCAACGAGUUUACAACCUUUCCCGAGAGGGAUGGGUAAUCUUUGGAAAUUUUAUCGUGAUGGGGAUAGAUGAUUGCAAUUAUUCGUCUUGAACGAGGAAUGCCUAGUAAGCGCGGUUCAUCAGACCGCGUUGAUUACGUCCCUGCCCUUUGUACACACCGCCCGUCGCUCCUACCGAUUGAAUGGUCCGGUGAAAUCUUUGGAUUGCCGGUUUUGUUCACUGCAAGUUCGCUUGUAGUGACGCCAGCGAGAAGUUGAUUAAACCUUNUNAUUUAGNGGAAGGAGAANUCGUANCA
Molecule: ribosomal RNA, 337 nt
Filed under: uncultured eukaryote
Lineage: Eukaryota
Description: partial 18S ribosomal RNA
Rfam family: Eukaryotic small subunit ribosomal RNA
Source: RNAcentral